AGAACGAACGCUGGCGGCAGGCUUAACACAUGCAAGUCGAGCGCCCAGCAAUGGGAGCGGCGGACGGGUGAGUAACACGUGGGAACAUGCCUUUCGGUACGGAACAACUGCGGGAAACUGCAGCUAAUGCCGUAUACGCCCUUACGGGGAAAGAUUUAUCGCCGAAAGAUUGGCCCGCGUCUGAUUAGCUAGUUGGUGAGGUAACGGCUCACCAAGGCUUCGAUCAGUAGCUGGUUUGAGAGAACGACCAGCCACAUUGGGACUGAGACACGGCCCAAACUCCUACGGGAGGCAGCAGUGGGGAAUCUUGGACAAUGGGGGAAACCCUGAUCCAGCGAUGCCGCGUGAGUGAUGAAGGCCUUCGGGUUGUAAACUCUUUCGACGGGGACGAUAAUGACGGUACCCGUAGAAGAGCUCCGGCCAACUUCGUGCUAGCAGCCGC
Molecule: ribosomal RNA, 442 nt
Filed under: uncultured bacterium
Lineage: Bacteria
Description: SSU rRNA
Rfam family: Bacterial small subunit ribosomal RNA
Source: RNAcentral